This is a long non-coding RNA of Arabidopsis thaliana (thale cress), 212 nucleotides long. RefSeq annotates it as other RNA. NCBI's taxonomy places the organism in Eukaryota, Viridiplantae, Streptophyta, Magnoliopsida, Brassicales, Brassicaceae. The record is from RefSeq. The transcript has a single exon.
UGGUUUUCAGAAAAAAUGUGGUGUAUUUACUAAUGUAAUUUCAACUUGUUACUCAAGAUUGCUGGUUGAUCAAUGACAUGGCAACAAGCUAGUUUCUUAAGAAAUGGGUGUUUAUGGGUUUUAACUGUAUCAUUUAGUUUUGCUUAAUGAUAUGUCUGUGUGUUGGUUGACCAUCAUAUGAAUAGAUUGUGUUUAACUCCAUCAAAAAUGAG